RNAcentral lists this ribosomal RNA (253 nucleotides) under uncultured bacterium. RNAcentral's name for it is "partial 16S ribosomal RNA". It matches the Rfam family "Bacterial small subunit ribosomal RNA", at positions 524 to 776 of the family's 1533-position model. The record is from RNAcentral.
UACGGAGGGUGCAAGCGUUAUCCGGAUUCACUGGGUUUAAAGGGUGCGUAGGCGGCUUAAUAAGUCAUUGGUGAAAGCUCGCAGCUCAACUGCGAAACUGCCAUUGAAACUGUUUAGCUUGAAUGUGGUUGAAGUGGGCGGAAUACAACAUGUAGCGGUGAAAUGCUUAGAUAUGUUUUAGAACACCGAUUGCGAGGGCAGCUCACUAAGCCAAUAUUGACGCUGAGGCACGAAAGCGUGGGUAGCAAACAGG